GGGUGAGGCCUGAUGCCGAGCCGUUGUGGUGAAGUGGAUGAUCCUAUGCUGUCGAGAAAAGCCUCUGGCGAUGUUCCGUGGCGGCCCGUACCCUAAACCGACUCAGGUGGUCAGGUAGAGUAUACCGAGGCGUUCGGGUGAACUAUGGUUAAGGAACUCGGCAAAAUGCCCCCGUAACUUCGGGAGAAGGGGGGCCGCUUCCGGUGAAGGCGCUUUGCUGCUGGAGCUGGGGGUGGUCGCAGAGAGCAGCGAGAAGCGACUGUUUACUAAAAACACAGGUCCGUGCGAAGCCGUAAGGCGAGGUAUACGGACUGACGCCUGCCCGGUGCUGGAACGUUAAGGGGACCGGUCAGCCGCCUUUCGGGGUGGCGAAGCUGAGAACUUAAGCGCCAGUAAACGGCGGUGGUAACUAUAACCAUCCUAAGGUAGCGAAAUUCCUUGUCGGGUAAGUUCCGACCUGCACGAAUGGCGUAACGACUUCUCGACUGUCUCAACCAUAGGCCCGGUGAAAUUGCAGUACGAGUAAAGAUGCUCGUUUCGCGCAGCAGGACGGAAAGACCCCGGGACCUUUACUACAGCUUGAUAUUGGUGUUCGGUUCGGCUUGUGUAGGAUAGGUGGGAGACUGUGAAGCCGCCACGCCAGUGGGGGUGGAGUCGUUGUUGAAAUACCACUCUGGUCGUUUCGGAUGUCUAACCCGGGUCCGUGAUCCGGAUCGGGGACAGUGUCUGGUGGGUAGUUUAACUGGGGCGGUUGCCUCCUAAAGGGUAACGGAGGCGCCCAAAGGUUCCCUCAGCCUGGUUGGUCAUCAGGUGGUGAGUGUAAGUGCACAAGGGAGCUUGACUGUGAGACUGACGGGUCGAGCAGGUGCGAAAGCAGGGACUAGUGAUCCGGCGGUGGCUUGUGGAAGCGCCGUCGCUCAACGGAUAAAAGGUACCCCGGGGAUAACAGGCUGAUCUUCCCCAAGAGUCCGUAUCGACGGGAUGGUUUGGCACCUCGAUGUCGGCUCGUCGCAUCCUGGGGCUGGAGUCGGUCCCAAGGGUUGGGCUGUUCGCCCAUUAAAGCGGUACGCGAGCUGGGUUUAGAACGUCGUGAGACAGUUCGGUCCCUAUCCGCUGCGCGCGUUGGAGUCUUGAGAAGGGCUGUCCCUAGUACGAGAGGACCGGGACGGACGGACCUCUGGUGUGCCAGUUGUUCUGCCAAGGGCAUGGCUGGUUGGCUACGUUCGGGAUGGAUAACCGCUGAAGGCAUCUAAGCGGGAAGCCGGCUUUGAGAUGAGGACUCCUGCCCACGUUGAUGGGGUAAGGCUCCCUGGAGAUGACGGGGUUGAUAGGCCGGGGAUGGAAGCCUUGUGAGGGGUGGAGUCGACCGGUACUAAUAGGCCGAGGGCUUGUC
Molecule: ribosomal RNA, 1393 nt
Filed under: Streptomyces aidingensis
Lineage: Bacteria; Bacillati; Actinomycetota; Actinomycetes; Kitasatosporales; Streptomycetaceae
Description: bacterial LSU rRNA
Rfam family: Bacterial large subunit ribosomal RNA
Source: RNAcentral